GCUGACCUGGGAGUGGUGGUGACACUGGGAAGCUGCUGACCUGGGAGUGGUGGUGACACUGGGAAGCUGGUGACCUGGGAGUGGUGGUGACAGUGGGAGGCUACUGAUCUGGGAGUGGUGGUGACACUGGGAAGCUGGUGACCCGGGAGUGGUGGUGACAUCGGGGAGGUGGCUGUCCUGUGCGGCCGGGCAGUCUCACCUGCGGGGCAGCCCCAUGCAGCCCAGCCUUAGUGCGCUCGGAGUCCUCAGGGCCUCUCUUGACUGUCAGGAGAACAGAAAUCUGAGAAAGUGUGACUGCAGAUGUUGGGAUUAGGUAAUUUGGCAAGUUAGAAGGAUGGCCUUAUCAUCAACGUUCUGUAUUCUUAGAAUAAACGUUAUUUGAAAAGUCUUGAAGAGUCAGAAACGUAGAGGGGAUGUAAUGCACAAACUGCCAGGUUGCCCGCUUGGAGCAGUUAAAACGGACUUCAGUGAUUUUACACGGGUUUUACCGAAAUGACUGUGUGGUGCUUUUUAUGAGAAUACUAAUUCAUCUGCUUUGGCUUUUGAGUGAAUUCAGAAUUAUGCCUUUCUCUCUACCUGACUGCUUAUAGAAUGAUUUUUACUUGGAUUUAAAGGAAAUUGUGGCGAAACUAGGCUGUUCAAGUCCCAAUUUAAAAAAAUGGGGGGGAUGGCUUCAGGUGGCAUAUUUGAUGAUUUGAAAGCAUUAAAUUGUUUUAUUAGCCCAUAGAAGAAGCGAUUACUUCCUCAUUAUUUUUUAAGAUGAUGGUAAGAAACGUCAUUUAGUGUUACCAGAGGUCAAUGUCGUUAAAGAUUCAACUUCUUUGUAGUGCAGGUUGUCUUUUCAGCUUUAAAGACACACUUUGCUAGGUUUAUUCGCUAUGUUUUACCCCAUUUGGUUUGCACUAAGGAUUCACAUCCACUUGGAGGUUUAGACACUAAUUUUAUCCUGUUUUCUCUUCUAGAAAUGCAGAGUAUUUAGUUGUGACUGGUAUUAUCAGCAUGCCAAUUUGCAUUUUGUACAUUUGGAAGAUGAGGUGCAUCUCUCUGAGGUUAAAUCUUUAGCAAUUGCUACACUGAGAAUUCUGUUAUUUUUCUUAAAAUAACGACAUAAAAAUAAAGAAAAAUCCAUUAAAAAAAAAAGAACCUGCCCACUUAAAAAGAGUGAGCAUCUCUCAGUUUUAGUUAAUUAUUCAAAUAAUUUUUGUAAAAUAUUUAAAUGAAAAUAAAUAAGUCUGGUGACUCAUAAAGCCAAGUCUAGCAUUGAUAGAGUAUAAAAAAUGCACAGGAGAAACAGAUUCCUUCUGCUUUUCACUCUGUAAACCAUAAUCCCUAAUGUUAGAUUUGGUCACGUGUGUACGCAUUAUUAUGAUUGAGCAUCUGUUUUAUUUUCUUCAAAAAUAUUUAAAAUUUUAUUUAUUUGCUUUUGAGCAGAUAAUAUAGCACAUGGCUUAAUAUUUAAAAGGAACAGAAAUAUUUACAGCAAAAAGUCCCUCUCCCAUCUGUCCAUCAGUGACCCUGCUCCCCCAAUUCCUCAGAGGCCACUGGUGUCACCAAUUGCUUGCAUAUCCCUCCAGAGAGAGUUUAGCAUAUACAGGCAAAUAUUAAUAUAAAUGUUUACCCUUCAUAGAAAUGGUAGCACUUGGUGCUCGAUGUUCCAUAUAUUUUUUUAAACUAAUAUCCUAGGCCCUUUCAGAACAUCCCAUUCAAAUCUUUUGCUAUAAUAUACAGUGCUAUGAUGAAUAAGCCUGUAUACAUUUCAAGUAUGUGUGUGUGUGUGUAUAUGUGCGUGUACACUUACAGGAUCAAUUCCUGAAAGUGGAAUUGCUGGGUUAAAGGAUAUGUGCAUUUAUAAUUACGAAGCUUGUUAAAUUUCCUUCUGUGCAUCUUGUAUUCCGUGUGUGAGAAAUUAUUUUUUCCCAUGCUUUUAUUUGAAGUCUGUCCAGAUGUUCAGUUUUUGCCAGCCUGACAGAUAAAUGUGGUAUCUGAGGAUCGUCUGAAUUUGUAUUUCUUUGGUUGUGCAUGAAGUUGAGCAUCUUAAGUCUUAAGUCUUAAGUCUGUACGUGUUCUUUUCCGUGAACAGUUUGCCCUUUCCAUUUUUCUAUUGAGUUGUUAAUUUCCUUCCUACAAAUUUGCAUGUACUUUUUAUCAGGGAACUUAGCCUUUUAAAUAUGAAUGUUUUUCUUAGUUGGUUGUUUGUCUUACGACUUUGUUUAUGGUGGCUUUUGCUAUACAGAAAGUGGUUUUUACGCAAUUGAAUUUAUCAACCUUUUAUUUUGUGACUUCUUAGGUUUAUGUUAUGUCUUGGCCUUUCCACUCUGCAAUAUUAAGCAAAAAAGGAAAAAGUCUCAUAUUUUCUUCAGUUUUUUGUUUGCUUCAUUUUUCACAUUUAACCCUGUGAUCUGUUAGAAGUUAUUUUGGUGGACGUUCAGAGGUAUACGUCUUGCUUUCUUUUUUCUCCCUCACUCCCCUCCGCCGCCCCGUGGAUACAGAAAUUGAAUCUUAAAUCAUUCAUUUAAUCAUCACGGGAAUGAUCCCAUUUUGCACUUCUUGGAUUUGAAGAAACAAUUUAAAAGUGCGUACUUCAUAAAUAGUUUUGCUCAUGUAUUUAUUUAAACUUAUUUAUCUGGAGACACAUUAGAAAUGGACUGAAGUAUGUAAAUAUCUUAUGAUAUAGUAUGUGAAAUAUAGUAUAUUAACUUAACACAUUAAAUUAUAAUUAUAUGUAGAUUAUAUGGAGGAAAAAAAGCAUUUCAAAUAUUCUGAAUAAUACCCUGGUUGUAAAUAUGUCGGUGGGUUUAGAGUUCACUAAACGGAGGUGUGUUUACACACAUAUAAAUAUUGUUCACAAUUAUAAAUUGUGCAUGAAAUACAUGUGAGAGGACUUUAUUAGUGAAAUCUGGAGAUAACUGCAUCUUUUAAUCAUCAGAUAAGACAAUUUUUGUUGUUACAUUUAUUUUUAGUUACUAAACUGGAGCUUCAGAUUUCUGAAAUGGAUAAUUAAAUGAUUGUGAAUGUUAUUUCAGAUCUAGUUAAUUAUAUGUGUAAUUAUGUGUACAAUUAUAUGUACAAUGAGAAUAGGCUUGUUCCAUUAUUUAUGUAGUUCAGAUUAGGAAAUUUGAGUAGUAAUUAAAAUUAAGGGACUGUAAUGCCAGAGCUAUUGCAAACCAGUGCUGCAAGCAGAUGUUCUGGAAGACCUUCUGGAAGAGGGUCUCACUGUGAGUUAUACCUGUGCUGGUCACCUCUGACCUUGAAGCGUCUGCAGUGAUUAUUUUUGCUGCCCUUUCUUUAGGCUGCUUUUAAAAUAGGGCGAUAAAUUUUAUAAAUCAGCAUCCAGAUAUGUUCUAAAGCAUCUUCUUAAUGUCUCAGUACCCUGAAAAAAUAUUGGUAUUUCUAAAAGAAUUUAGAGUUACAAAUAUAGCAACAGAAAAAAAUUUUCAAAAAACCUCUUUUGGUUCCCACCAAGAGCAGAAGUUUGAGAUGUUUACAAAGCAUAAAGGAUUAAAUAUGAUUAUGUUUUAGCUAUGAUUUUGAGAAUAAGGUAUUUGUGUUUUCCACUCAGGGAUAUGGGUAUGUUUGAAAAGAUGUUAAUGCUAUUAUUAUAUUGAUGAUUUGGGAGUAACAUAAAUAAUCACAAAUUGUUAUGUUUAGCGUAAACUCAUGGUACUUAAUUGAGCACUGUUCACUCAUUUUCAUUAAAGAUGCCAACCUUUAAUUAAACAUGCAUACCUUAAUUAAAGCUUUAUUCAGACAGUUUCCUAGGGUUAUCCCUGUGUUGUAUUUCUUGUGGUUCUUGAAGGAAUAUCACAUUAAAGAAGCCUUCUUUUUAUACUUUUGGAUUUCAACCCAGCAGCAGUUUUGCUCAGGUUAUCAUGCUGAUUUUAACUGCUGAAUUUUAUCAUAAUAGCAAAGCAGGAGUGUUGAGAUGCUUUGGUGUGUAUUUUGGUAGAUGACGAGUCCAAGAACUUGAGUGAUGAGUAGUUAAGUAUUUUAAUUACUUGUUUUAAUAAGAGCAGAGUGAUGAUUGUGCAUUUAUUUACUGUGCAUCAUACACAUUUUUCAAAUUUAAAAUCAUUAGUUUAAAAAUAAUAAGGCAGUUGCCUUAUUUAGUUUGGGAAACAUUUAUGAAACACGUAAGUUAGGCUGAAGACUGAAUUAAUAAUUAGGUCCUCUUUGAAGAAAUGGAGAAUUCCAAGUUGGGAGCAGAAAAUUUGCAGGAUGAGUAUGGCAUCCUUUGUCCCACUAGAAGGCAAGGAAGUUACCAAGGAUUAGGACUCAGGAGGGAACCAACUUGAAGAGGCUUCCACGGGACCAGUGAUGGGGACAGUUUGAUCAUCAGUAAGAAUGAAGUGUCAGUGGACUGAAAUCUCCAAAUCCAUGAAUUCAUAAUAAUGAUUACCAAGAAAAAAAGAAAUGUGUCUCUUUUGUUGGAUGCUAGGGAACUGAUGUAUUCUUUUAAGAUCCAGAAAAUAAGGAGAAAGAAUGAAACAGUGUGGUUUUCUCAGGGUAAGCAAGUGCUCAACAAGGGAAAGUUUCUUUUUUAUAAAAGGUGUUUUACCCCAGCUAAUGUGUGGAGAAGGGAUGAUUGAAUAAGUGUGUCACAAUUUUACAGCUCCUCAUGAAUUAAUGGCUAUAAAAUCCAGACAGUGAUUUAUCAGUGGCUACCAAUGUCUCAAAAGGAAGGGCAGUCAGACAUAAUGUACUUCCUGCUGGAAAUAUUCAUUGCUACUAAUUAACAGUCACCAAAAAACCAAACCUGAGUAUGAUAGGCUUUUAGGUCUAACCAGCAUUUUACAGAAAAUACAGGGGACAGAGGAAUGUGGGGAUGCAAUGAGCAAAAUUCUAAUUAUGGGAAAUUUCAGAACAAACGGCCUAGUUUCUUCAAAAAUACAUUAUAAGAAGAGGAAAAAAGUGGACGAGAAGUCUAGAGAAUAAAAGAAAUUUAGGACACAUAUUAUCUAAUCAUAAUGGUAGACUUCACUGAUUAAAUAAUUGUAAAAAAUAAAAGUUUAUGAGACACUUGAGGAGAUGUAAAUACCAACUGGAUACAUGUUGAUAUGAUGGAAUUAUUAUUUUAAAGGACUUAGAUGUGACAAUGGUUGUAAUGGGGUUAAGUUUAUAAAGCGGCUCUGUCUUUCAGAGAAACGUUUUAAAGUAUGCUAUUUCUAGACGAAGUGAUGUGAAGUCUGGGGUUGCUCCGGAAUAAUCGAGGUGGAUGGGAGGAACGCGUGGAGGGUAGACUUGACAUAAUACUGGUUGUGAGUAAUUGUUGUCAUUGGUUGGGUCGUGACACUACUGUAUUUACUUUUGUGAUACUAUUGUAUUUUAUGUAUAUCCUAAAAUUUCGAUGCUAAGAAAGAUCCAGUCAUAGCCUUCAAGAGUUUUGAAAGAGCUAUACAUAAAAUAGCAGUACCGCAGGAUAGUAAGAGCCAUACCGUAGGUGUGUGUAUGUUGCUGUGGGAUGUGUAGUGUGGGGUCAGGGAAAGGCAGGAGGGGGAAGCUAGAACCUGGGCCAGGCAGACGGGCGGCCAGCCCCGCAGGCGGGAGAGCAGCAAGCCCAGGGUGCGGAGCAGUGGACGCAGAUGGCCCGCUGUGGGGGCUGCCGGUGGGGAGACAGGCUUUCGUGUUGGAGCUGGGAUGGCGCAGAGGAAGGAAGGAGUUAGAGGGUGGCUGCUUGGGAGAGACAGUCAAAGGAAGGUUUUCCUUUUUUUUUUUUUUUUAACUUGAAUUAAAAUUUUGAAUUCCUUGACAAGUUUAAACUGUUGUUUAGAGAGAUCUCUGACCAGAGUUGGUAAAGUUUCAUCUUCAGAAGUUACCUUGUUGAUGACUUAAGUUCAUCCUCCCUCUUAACCCACUCCCGUCUAGAAUGAGUGAAUGGCCAGCAAAAUUUUGUUCUCCUCAGCCCUGGUAGCUUAUGGCUGUACCCUUAGUGAAGGAAUCUAGACCCCGACAUGUGCUCUCUGCCUCACCCGUCAUGUGGAAGCCUUUACUGCCCUGCUGGAGACCGUGCAGACGCCUGUCUGUCCCCACGUAAGGGAUGUGGCGGAUCGCUGAAAGUUCCCACCUGCGUGCGCUUGUCUGUGCCAGAGAAGUCAAACUGAUUUCUGUAGAGAAUUUGCCUGAAAAUAGAUGUUGACAUGCACUUCCUGAAAUUAUAAGCAGAUGAAAGGCUAAUAUAUGCAUACUGCCUUUUCCUAAGUCAAAGCAAUUAAAAGCUUUAUGUAGCUUUUAUACAGUUAGAAAGAGUGAUACCUCUUCCCAGUUUAAAAAUGCAGCACAAAACCACUAGAAUAAGCUCACCUGUCUGUAGUCACAAAACCAGUUUUGUCUGUUGGACUUUUUUGUUUUCAGCAAUCCUGAAUCUUACUGAUGUGGACUAAUUUAUUUCCCAAUAGUAUAGUCUGUAGUUUCCAAAAUGAAGUGUAAAAUAUGAACCAAUUAAGUUGAGUGACCAAAACUCCUGACCAAGGAUGGGAUUUCAUGAGCUGUGUUUUUAUAAUCCAGUCAGACUGGCAGGUGCCCUCGAGAGAGAGAUGUAUGACUGAACCAGUGAGGAGAAAUGGCUGCCCAUUGUCUUAAAAUAUCUUUUUCCCCAUAAAAGUCAUACAUACUCACAGAAAACAAAAUCUAGCUGGUGAUGAAGAAUGACACAAGUCACUUACAAUGCAGUUCACCAGGUUUUAGUGCCUCUUUGUUACUCAGUCAGCAUUAAUGCCGCAGUCAAGCUAUAUGUGUGUGUGUGUGUGUGUGUGUGUGGGUUUUAAUCAUUUGAUUCUAAUAAACUUGUACUUAAAAUUGUAAGUAACUUGAAACGAUUUGAGCAGAUACAAAUGCCUCAUUAGGAGAAAUCAGUGAAUAAAUGCUAGUGAAUUACUUAAAAAGAAACCACUUAUAAGAAAUCCGAGUGCUGACGGCUAGUAGCUACUGAGCGCGUCUGUCCCGGGCGUUGUUCUGAGUGCUGCGCAAGCUCGCUUAAUCCCCACGACCCUACCGGGUGGGCACUGCUGUCCACCAUUUUACAGGUGGAAGUUCUUUCUUUCCUCUUUGGCUGGAUUUGUGUGGCGGGCACGGGGACUGUCUUACAGCAGAGUCAGCUGGCUGACCCCCUCCCAAAAGGCCCUGCCAGCCUGACCCCAGGCUUGUGUCCUCGGUUUUCCUCAACGACCUUGGGAGGAGUGGCCUGUCUAUGAGCUAGGUUCUCAUUGGCGCCUCUACCUCCUCUGAUUCUUAUACCAAGAUUCAAACUGGAGUUUUGUUCAGUAGAAAUUGUCACUGGGUUCAAAGUUCUUUGCUUCUGGCACUAACCUUCAUUUCCACAUACAUGCUUCAUCUUUUUGGUGAAACUAGAAAAUUGGCCCCCAUGGUGACAAUUUUGCAAAAAGCAUUUCUUACAUGUCUUUUUUUUUGCAACUAGGAGAAAGUUCAGCUCCCUUUUGAUUUAAUUAAUUUUAAAAUUCAUCUAAUUUUUUUUGUUUUAAAAUAACCUUACCUUUUAUUUCUUUAAUGUGUUUAGUUUUUUUAUUUUUAACAUUUUAGGAUUGGAAAGGACCUUAACGUUUUCUAGCCUAGUGGCUAAAUGACCUUUAAGUUUUUCAACUAUAAUCUACAGUUAGAAAUAACAUUUUCUGUUGUGACAGAGAUGUGAUAGGAAGAAUUUUAAAAACGGCCUUCCCUGCUUUCCCACCCUAAUCCCCCAGGGCUUCAAGUUUGAUGAGCUAAUAUGCCCAUGAUCAUUAUGUUACAUGGCAAAUGAGAUUUUGCAGAUAUAAUGUAAGGUUUAAGAUGUAAUCAUUGGACUUUGAACUAGACGAAAGGGAGAUUAUCCAGGUGGGCAUAGUCUAAUCACAUGAGACUUUAAAACCAGAUGUUUCUCUGCCUCACAGCAGAGAGAUUUGAAGGACGAGAGGGACUUAUCAUGCUGUUGCUGGCUUGAGGGUGGACUGACCGUGUGAGAAGGAAUAUGAAAAGUCGUGAGGAGCUGAGAGAGAGGCUCAGGGCUGAGAGCCACCAAAGAAACAGGGACCUCAGUGCUACAGCCACAGGGAGCGGAAUCUGGCCAAUAACCUGAAUGAGCCUGGAAGCAGAUUCUGCCCAGAUGAGAACCCAGCCUGGCUGGCACCUUGAUUUUGGCCUUGAGAGAUUCUAAGCAAAAAACCCAGUCAACCCCACCUGGACUUUUUAUAGAACCAUGAACUCAUAAAUAAGUGUUGUUUUUAAACCUCUAAGUUAGUAGCAAUUUUUUAUACAGCAGUAGAAAAUGCAAGGCUGUUUUGCAACUAUAUGAAGAAAUUCUAUGGAAGAAAUGGAAAUCUUAUAAUGAAAAAAUUAGAAUUAAAAGAUACAAAUACAACCUGAUAACAGUCAUAUAAAAAUUUAUAUGGAAAAAGACCAGCAGGGGAUAUACAAAGAUGCUCAUGGUUCUAGGUUAGGAAGUUUUUAUUUUCCAUUUCUUUGUUAUGAUGUUACUUUUUAUAAUUAAAAUAAACUUAUAUUAAUAUAUAAUUUUUAAUAAACUUACUUAUGUAAAACUAAGAACUUAAUUUCAUUUGGGAAUUUAUUACUGGGAACUUGCAAAUUCACAGGCCUGAAGGACUCUUGCUGGCACGUGUUACACGUGAAAAGCUUGUUGGUAGCUGGAAGCGGCAGGUGAUAAACUAAAACCUCUGUGUUCCCUGGCAUUCCCCGCAUCACUGAUUUGCUGAGGAAGCAGCUUUUGCUGUCCUAUGUUGUUGAGGGGAAUACACAGGCCUGCACACUUUUGGAAAGAGAUUCUGUGGGGAGAUCGAGAUGUGGCCGUUGGAAGGGUAGGUUAGGGUAGUGCGUGUUUGGCCUUUAAAGUAAAGCUGUGAGAGGCCCUGUGCCAGCUGUUACUUGUCUUCAAGCCACUUGAGGUGAUUUAGCCUCCGCAAGGGGCUCUGUUGCAGGGUCGUGUAGGUUAAGUUGUGUUAUCAGAGCUUUUCCUGUGCACAGUUGAGGAAACAGGACAGCAGCCUUCCUAACUGCCCGGUCUGACUGCGUCCCUGCUGCUGAGCUGCUGUGAUCGCGCGGGAAAGGGUGAGUCACACAGGAGGAAGGAACUGCACUCAGGACCUCGACAAACACUCUGGGUGCGGCGGCGUGCUGGGUGUACGCCUCAGACAGGUGGAGCGUCUCCUUGAAUGCAGUGAGGUGCCACGUGCCACGGUUGUUGCUGCUGUUGGUUCUAACCUGCAGGCUUCCUGUGUCUGUUGCUCAGGAGCGCUGAAGGCUCUUCUUAAAGAGGAGUCUCAGCGGGGAAAGGAUAGUAUUGCCUUGUGAAGGGGAAACCCUAGCCUGUAGUCAGUUUUUGUAUGAAACUGAUUUAUUAAAACUAACAUUGCUAACCGCAAGGUAUACUGUUGAUUUACAACGUUUCUGGGUGAUAACAUUGAUUCAGUUAAACAGCCAUAAGAUUGGAAAAAAUGUCAAAAAUGAUAAAUUUCCAUCGAAAGCAUGAGUGCACAUGAAACUAUGUUCAAACAUAAGGGCAACUUUGUAAAGGCCAGAGUUUUGGAGUUCCUGGAAUGCCCCUUUUCCCAACCUUCAUAAUUUCAAGGCUUAGGUGUUCCAGUUGUAUAUGUGUGGGUGACUCUUUCUGCUGGGUUCCCUGGGUCCUUGUUGGGUAGCAUCAGACUAGCCGGUUAGGCAGGCCCUGUGGUUCUUGGAGGAGUCACAGAGAUGACGAGGAAGGUGUAAGGGCCAAGGCUUAGUACAGGACAGCCCUUGGGUGGGGACGCGGAAGUCAGAGUGCAGUUUCCUGACGUUAAGUGCAGUUCCUGCUGGACAGCAGGUGCUUGCCUCCUAUGUUGGCUCACUGCCCUCCCAGAGAGUGAGCCCUUCCUUAAAUUUGGUGCCCCCAGCCCUUCACUCCCCCUUAGCCUGGGCCCAGCCCUGCUCAUGGAUGUACCAUUGGGUUAGCCAGUUACCCCAUUUUCUCUUCUUUUCUCUGAAGGAGAAACUAUUAUUUUUUGCCCAGAGAAUCCAGAAAGCGGGUCUUUAAGUUGGUUCUUGUAUGUAAGGCUUCACUUGGCCAGUGCUAUCACAGAUUUGUACGUGAGUGUAAGUUAGAAAAUACUUAGUUUAUGCAUUUGAAGCUGUUUGAUUUAUACGUAGAAUUUUAGGAACGUAAGCGUUGUGAGAACAGUUUAGAUCAAUAAGUACAUAUACCGUGACUGUGACUGCGAGGUUUUCCAGUGUGCCCAGGGGAUAUUCUGAUUUGUUAUCUUCCUGCUGCUUUUAUUAAGGCUUUCUAAUCCUGUAAUUCACCUCCUGCUUUCUGUGGUGUGUUUCACGUUUGUGAUUGGUGUUAGGGUGAGAGGUGGCCGUGGGAGGUAUAUCACCACUGUCUUGAAAUGGGAAGAGAGGAGGAUUGGACAUCAACUGUAGCUUUGAGACAGCAUUUUAUAUUUGCAGGUUGGGAGAGACCACGAUUUCUUGGUAUUUAUUAGUUAUAAAAAUAUAAGUAAUAGACCAAUCCGGGUUUUACAUAUGCACCACACCAAAUCCUGGAGCCAGGGCUAUUGGUUCAGUGUAACUUCUGACAACGAUCUACAUUCAUAUUGACUUCAGAAAUAUGGUAAUUUAUAUUAGCAGGAAUCUAAGUAUUGUCAGGGAAGCUUUGGGCAUUUUUUAUAUGUAAACUGUUAAGAAUUUGGUAUACAUCUCGCCUACCUAUAAUUAAAGCUUGCAUUUUAGAAUCAUUUGAAUGGCCUUUUAAAGUAAAAUUAAUUUAUAUUGGUAGGUAUAAGACCGAGUUGUCUUUACCUUAAUUCAUUCCUUUGUAGCAGCGAUUCUCAACCAUAAGUGAUUCUUGUUUCUCGGGGACAUUUGGCAACGUCUGGAGACAUUUUUGGUUAUUACAACUUGAGGACGUACUGCUGGCGUCCAGUGGGCAGAGGCCAGGGGUGCUGCUUCACAUCCUGGGAUGCCCUCUCUGACAAAGGCUUACCUGGCCCCGAAUUUCAGUAGUGCCAAGGUUGAGAAACCAUGCUUUAUAGGCUUUAUAACGAAGUAUGGUUUCUGUCCUCCUUUGUGUUUUCCAUUCCCUCUGCCGUCUCCUAGUCUCAGAUGAACCAGCAUGGCUAGUGUUCUUGGCGUGGUAUGUAGUGGACUGAUCUCAGACGGCCCCGUUCGCCGCCCUUCCCUGUGAGCAUCGUCUUUGCAGGGCGACUUUCCUGUUUCCCUUGUGAGUGCAGGUUGUGAGUUGUACCUGUGCCUCUCUUUGGACAAUAGCGUAUGUUGGAAAUGAUGUUGAGACCAGGUCUUAAACGGUCUUUCAUACUUCUCUCUUGCGCACAAGCCCAUGCUUGCCUGGCUUGCCUGCUGGUUACCUGUUGCCUCUGUUGUCCCGCUGACACCUAGUUAGUCACCAGACGUGGGCCGUGGGAAAGAGGCCAUCCUGGAGCAGCCAGCCUGCAGCCAGCGUGGCCGUUUGACUGCAGAUGCAUGCGUGGCCGAGAUGCUCAGUCUUGCCCAGCACAGCAGAACUGCUCAGAUGACCUGUAGACACAGGAGCAAUAAUAAAUGGCAGGAUAUCUCCAGGGGAAAGGUGGGAAGGGAAAAGCAGGUCGCAAAAUGCGUGGGGCUGUUACAUCUGUGCUGCUGGAGAAGUCUCAGCAAGUUGCUUACUGGUAGGAGUGGCCCUCCGAGUGUGGCUUGAUUUCUGUUUAAGGACUGUGGCUGGGUGGUUCCCUAUAAAUCCAAGCAGCAAGCAAGUAGAUUUAGCAGGUGUUUUUAAAUAAAGGAAAAUGCUAUCCAAAUUUAAAACUGAAUACAACUUAUUAGAAAGAAUCUAACAUAAAAUUUAAGGUUUUGCCCUCAAGAGAAACAUUGCAGAUUUUUUUCUUUUUGAUGUAUAUAUUUAUAAGACUCUGGAUGAAAUACUCUGCUCCUCUUAACUUGCUCACAAUAGGGCACUGGUUCCCAAACAGGACACUGCUGCGCUCAAAGGGGACAGAAAACCUCCCAGGACCCUCGCACACUCCAGGCCCGGACAGGCACCUGUUCAGACUCACCUGCCAGCUCAGAAGGGUAAUGACUGUGCAGCGCGCCAGCUGCUCUGGGUCUCAGAUCUGCUCAUCACGUUCCGCAGCCUUGAGAUCCAGAAAAGUAAGAUGAUGGAUAUGAGCCUCCUCACACCUCUCCCCAUGCCUGAGAGCAUCACUAGGUAACACGUGCAAACCAGCGAGCUGAACCUCUUAGUACACACAGUGCCGAGCCCUGCCAUUAGCAAAGGCAGGACCUCUGUCACCGUCAGCCAGGAGGUUAAAAGCAUAAGCAUUUAUUAACUCCAAUUAGAAUAAUCACAAUACAAAUUACUGCAAUCCUGUUAAGAUGGUAAUAAAGAUACGAAACUUUAAGCUCCGUGUUUUUCAAGUACGGAAAGUAUAAUUUGAAAGCAUGUUGAAUAUGCCAGCAUUUUAUUAAAAUCAAUACAAAAUAUUUAAAUUCCAAUUGUAUAGUGAAAUGUAAUUUUAAAAUAGUUUGCUAUAAUAGGAAUUUGACUGUAAAAACAAUACUUAAAGCAUAGUAAUUAAUAUGAAAACUCCUUCUUGCUUCAUGCCAAAUUCAAACUAGACUUCAUAUACAUCUACUUGACUGGUAUGAAAUAUGUGAAAAAUUCAAAAUUGCUUUUAAGAGUUACUAAAUAUUUCUAAAAUAUGAAAACUGUAAUUAAACUAAUUAACCAAUUUAGAAAUCCAUCAAUUAAUUUUCAACCCCAACCAAGGGUAUUUCCCAGAAAGGUGUCUGUCAUACAAUAUUAAUAAUUCCAAAACCAAUUUAAAAUAUUCAAAAUAACAAAAAUAGCAAAACUGAAUCACUUGUUAUUCAUUACUUUUUAAAAAACUUUGUUUUCUCUGUUUAUAGAAAAUGUAAGUCUUUAGAAAUUAUCAUUUAGAUUGUGAAAAUCUCCAUAUUUACAUAAAUGUGACACGUCAAGAUGUCCAAGAUAUAUUUAUUAUGUGAAAGAAGGGAUUUGGAGGACAGCCUAUUAAUAUAAUCCUUAUUUAGUUAGUGGAGAAUUGUUUUAAUUGGAAAAAUAUACACCAAAUUCUUUAUUAAACUCUUAAAAAUAGUUCUCUCUGUUGAAGGGGUGUGGGAAAAUGGGGCUCUCAAACAUGUUCCUGAAGCACACUUUAAGGGACGGAUUUGAAAGAUUUACGGCGGCGUCAUCCUGCAGGGUGAAUGAACACGUUCACCAGGACCCCUCGAUGUAGACGGUUUGCCUGCUGCACGCUGGCUGCACUGCCCUGUGAAGUGUCUCAGGUGGCGCGGGGAUGAAGGAAGAAUACAGCCAGUAAAGGCACCCUGCCUUCAAAGAGAAACCCCUCUUUGUUUAUUUCAGGGCCUCUCUGAGGAAAAUUUAUGAAAUUACAAAGAUUUGAAGCCAGCGUCUGAGAUAGCUAUCCGUAUCAAGUAGACAUUCGAGGAUAGUUUGCAGGUGCUCAGUGAUUAAGAUCUUAAACAGCACUGCCUGACGUAUAUUUGGAAUUUUUAGUUUUUGGGAAUAUCUCAGUUAUUUUCAUUUUUGCCAACUUAACCUGAGCAUGACAAAUGAAAAGUGUAUUAGAAAUUAAAAUAUUUCUACCAUGAUGAAGCACUUCAAAUAAUUUAUGAAUAGGUUGCCAAUAUAAAUUUAUCUGCUUUGUGGACAGUCAAGUUCAGAAAAAAUAUCUGUUUAAAAUAGAACCAAUCAGUUUUGUAAUGUUUCUUAUUAUUUAUACAUGAUAUGGUAUCAGAUAAUUUUGUUUUGAUUAUGUCAUUUUCAGUUGUUACACAAUAAUUGUUCAUAUAAUACAGUGAGGAAAUAUUUUACAGAUGUUGUGCUUUGUUAAGUAGUAUUUUUAUGAUUUUUAGAAACAUAAAUGUCAGUUUUCCUUUAGUAGAUUACUCCCUCCCCUUUCCCCACCACCCUUCAAAAAAGUGCCAGGGAAGAGGAGGGAGACUUUCCCUUUUUAUAUACCUUCUCUAGACUGUUGGCUCUUUCUAAAAACCAUCUGUGUAUAUUCAAUCGGUUAUCUAAACAAGUACAGUUCAGUCCUUAAGCAAAAGUUCUCUGUUUUCCUCACCUUCUUGUACCUCGACCACAGCCUUAUGCUUAAAAUGAAGGAAAUUUGGAGUUUAAGGUGGAAGCAGAGAAGGAUGUUCAUGGCGGCUGAUGAGAGUGGAGAGACCCACAUGGACCGGGGCCGAGCAGCACGUGUGACAGAGUGAUGUGUGUGGACAGGGCAGCUCCAUGUGUGCUGUCUUUGGGGUCCUGGGAUCGAUGCCAGGUUCACCCGUAGCUCCAGGCUGUGUAGGACUCAGCUCAGCUGUGGUUUUCCGUGAGAUUUCUCUGGCAGCUCCUUGAAUGUCUUUCAAUAAAUCCUGUUUUUCUUCAGGCA
Non-coding RNA from Vicugna pacos (alpaca), 14399 nucleotides. NCBI's taxonomy places the organism in Eukaryota, Metazoa, Chordata, Mammalia, Artiodactyla, Camelidae. The record is from RefSeq and is a predicted model, not a curated record.